UCUGAGCCUCCGAGCCACCCAUUCAUCCUCUUAUGUAAAGCAUGGCAACAUUAGGCUCGAUAGAAUCGCCUUUGCACAAGCAUUGCCAAUUCGGCGCUCAUUUGAGCCACGGAACUUGAACGCAUGACUAAUCAAGACUCGAGCUUUCCCAAACUUCCCCUUGCACAUGCGGGACCCACGGGUCCGCCAUGUUGACUGCAGGCCACCCCUCCUGACCGACCAAAAUUUCAAAUUCCCCAAGCUUCUCCUUCUCUUCACUCUUUCAUUUAACUUCCCCUACACUCAAACUUCUCCACACUCAACCUCUCCUACACUCUUUCCCUAACUUCCCCUACACUCUACCUUGACAUUUCCCCACCUUAAUCUUCCCUCAAAAAAUUCGGAUGCUCUAAGUACACCUCAAUUGCACUUACUCCACUUAACCUUGUCAUUAAGCUUGCCCUUAUAAAUCCAUUGCAUCAUUAACUUAAUGACAACUCAAUUCCCAUCAUCUCUCCAGCUUUCUCACUCAAGAACACUCUCCCAACUCCUCUCAUUUUCCAAAAUUUCGGAUAGCCUCAGUUGAGCCCAAACACAAGGCCGAUUUGCCCAAAAACUCAAUAGUUUUCAAGCGACUGCCCCUCAACCCGAACCAAACUUGCCCAAACUUCUUACCCCCCAUGUCUUCGACCUUCUAAAUCCAUUUUCGGACUUAGUUGUAGUGUUCGAAGCUUCCAGCAUGUCGUUUCAGUUCGGCACAGAAAUAGCGCCCAACCGGGUUCUAUCAGUCACUUUUGGGUCCUAGACGUGUCCUACCUUCCCACGACUUCAGCGAGUCAUGCCAUCAUAUUCUAAGGGUUCCUCACAACCCUCACUCUCCCCCGUAAUAAGACGGGCGAAAUCCUCACAAAACUAGUGCAGGCAUGAUCCUCAGUCAGUUAAGAGUCUAAUGCCACCGACCUUGCAUCAAAAGACCACCGGGAGCCUCCUGUAGACCCAUUUCUUCGUCAGGUGCCAGUCGGGUCUGUUUUGACCCAACUGAGUCUGUCAUUUUUUACUAAUCCGACUUUGCUUUUAAUUUUCGGAAAAUCUACACGCACAAUCUUCACGAAACUAGCGCAGGCGUGAUCCUCAGUCAAUUAGGAGUCCAAUUCCAUCGACUUUGCAUCAAACGACCACCGGAAGCCUCCUGUAGACCCGUUUCUUCAUCGGGUGGCAGUCGAGUCUGUUUUGCCCCGAUUGGGUUUGUCAUUUUUUACUGAUCCGACUUUGCUUUUGAUUUUCGAAAAAUCUACGCGUGCAAUCUUCACGAUAUCAACACAGGCGUGAUCCUUAGUCUCUUGAAAAUCCAAGGCAACUGACCCCACGCGAAAAGGCCACUACAAUCAACCGGUACAGCCCCGACAAGCCGGACUGCCAAUCGGGUCUACCGCUGACCCGACUUCACUGAUUCGGGUCCGUUCACUCCAGGGGGCAAAAUCGACUCUCUAGGGGCCGUAUGUGGUUUCCAUGCCUCAAUUUAAGUCGUUUCCAGAGGUUUUUUUACUUUUUUCCGCUUCCAUGAGUUGGUGUCGUUUUAUUGAUUUCCUUAAAUAUCAUGUUUGUAUUUGUUUGUAUGCUCGAUUGCGUUCCUAAGAUCAUGGUGGCAUCAACUUUAUAAAAUGUGCGUUAUUAUUGUGUUUGA
Punica granatum (pomegranate) is the source of this 1663-nucleotide non-coding RNA. Lineage: Eukaryota; Viridiplantae; Streptophyta; Magnoliopsida; Myrtales; Lythraceae. The record is from RefSeq and is a predicted model, not a curated record.